GUUCGAUUAGACUAUUUCCAACCGGAGGCUUGGCCAUUUGCAAGCAGAGAUGCUAAACUGAGUAUUAAUCUUCAAACAAUUUGCUCUGCCGAAUGGGGACAGGAGCACGGAGGUUGGAGAGCCGAGCAGAUCGUAGCAGGUGGCCACGCUUGGAGGGAAAGGGGAUUCAAGUCACGCUUGGGAUCUGGUCCCUCCUUCCCAGCCUCCUCUGCUAGCUCUGUGAAGGGCAACCGUAAAUGCACCACGAACCUCGUCUCUGCAAAAGGGUUUGGAAAUGAAAACAGCAGGCAAGGCUUUGAUUUCCCUCCCGGCCUUUGACAACACGCAUUUGCAAAACAGCAUCGUGCUACAAGGCUCUGGUGUUGUGCAGAGCAUGGGUGCUGCAUCUGAGCCUCCAGGCUCAGUGCUUUCGGGCUUUUAGUCAUCAAUAAAC
This is a long non-coding RNA of Struthio camelus australis, 433 nucleotides long. Lineage: Eukaryota; Metazoa; Chordata; Aves; Struthioniformes; Struthionidae. The record is from Ensembl.